GGAUGCGAUCAUACCAGCACUAAAGCACCGGAUCCCAUCAGAACUCCGAAGUUAAGCGUGCUUGGGCGAGAGUAGUACUAGGAUGGGUGACCUCUUGGGAAGUCCUCGUGUUGCGUUCC
RNAcentral lists this ribosomal RNA (119 nucleotides) under Triticum aestivum (bread wheat). Lineage: Eukaryota; Viridiplantae; Streptophyta; Magnoliopsida; Poales; Poaceae. The record is from RNAcentral.